GCCUACGGGAGGCAGCAGUGGGGAAUUUUCCGCAAUGGGCGCAAGCCUGACGGAGCAAGACCGCGUGCGGGAGGACGGCUCUUGGGUUGUAAACCGCUUUUAUCAGGGAAGAAGAUCUGACGGUACCCUGAAUGAAUCAGGACU
Molecule: ribosomal RNA, 144 nt
Filed under: uncultured bacterium
Lineage: Bacteria
Description: partial 16S ribosomal RNA
Rfam family: Bacterial small subunit ribosomal RNA
Source: RNAcentral